RNAcentral lists this ribosomal RNA (258 nucleotides) under uncultured bacterium. RNAcentral's name for it is "partial 16S ribosomal RNA". It matches the Rfam family "Bacterial small subunit ribosomal RNA", at positions 524 to 776 of the family's 1533-position model. The record is from RNAcentral.
UACGUAGGGUGGCGAGCGUUGUCCGGAAUUAUUGGGCGUAAAGAGCUCGUAGGCGGUCUGUCGCGUCGAAUGUCGAAAACCCGGGGCUCAACUCCGGGCUUGCAUUCGAUACGGGCAGGCGUAGAGUUCGGUAGGGGGAGUCUGGGAAUUCCUGGUGUAGCGGUGAAAUGCGCAGAUAUCAGGAGGAACACCGGUGGCAAAGGCGGGACUCUGGGCCGAUACUGACGCUGAGGAGCGAAAGCGUGGGGAGCGAACAGG